This 372-nucleotide ribosomal RNA is filed under the name uncultured prokaryote. Its description in RNAcentral is "bacterial SSU rRNA". It matches the Rfam family "Bacterial small subunit ribosomal RNA", at positions 524 to 896 of the family's 1533-position model. The record is from RNAcentral.
UACGUAGGGUGCAAGCGUUAAUCGGAAUUACUGGGCGUAAAGCGUGCGCAGGCGGUUAUUUAAGUCAGAUGUGAAAUCCCCGGGCUCAACCUGGGAACUGCAUUUGAGACUGUAUAGCUAGAGUACGGCAGAGGGGGGUGGAAUUCCGCGUGUAGCAGUGAAAUGCGUAGAUAUGCGGAGGAACACCGAUGGCGAAGGCAAUCCCCUGGGACUGUACUGACGCUCAUGCACGAAAGCGUGGGGAGCAAACAGGAUUAGAUACCCUGGUAGUCCACGCCCUAAACGAUGUCAACUAGUUGUUGGGGAUGAACUGACUCAGUAACGAAGCUAACGCGUGAAGUUGACCGCCUGGGGAGUACGGCCGCAAGGUUG